ACGGAGGGUGCAAGCGUUGUUCGGAAUCACUGGGCGUAAAGGGCGCGUAGGCGGCCGCACCAGUCCGAUGUGAAAGCCCGGGGCUCAACCCCGGAAGUGCAUUGGAAACUGUGCGGCUUGAGUUCGGGAGAGGAAGGCAGAAUUCCCGGUGUAGGGUUGAAAUCCGUAGAUAUCGGGAGGAAAACCGGUGGCGAAGGCGGCCUUCUGGAACGAAACUGACGCUGAGGCGCGAAAGCGUGGGGAGCAAACAGGAUUAGAGACCCUGGUAGUCCACGCUGUAAACGAUGGAUGCUGGGUGUGGGUGACAAUACGGUCAUCUGUGCCGAAGCUAACGCAUUAAGCAUCCCGCCUGGGGAGUACGGUCGCAAGACUA
Molecule: ribosomal RNA, 373 nt
Filed under: uncultured bacterium
Lineage: Bacteria
Description: bacterial SSU rRNA
Rfam family: Bacterial small subunit ribosomal RNA
Source: RNAcentral